RNAcentral lists this long non-coding RNA (1247 nucleotides) under Triticum aestivum (bread wheat). RNAcentral's name for it is "long non-coding RNA (TAES_LNC008160)". Lineage: Eukaryota; Viridiplantae; Streptophyta; Magnoliopsida; Poales; Poaceae. The record is from RNAcentral.
AUAUCGAGCUCCUUCUUUUACAGUAAUCGAAUUUUGAGUUUGCAAUGAUUGUUCAUGCCUAAUUGGCAAUAUAUAUUCACAACAAAUUAUUUUUGUUGUCAGACGAAGGGCAUGACGGAUGGCAUCAGCGGAAAGGUGAGCGCCGGUGGAGAUAAGCGAGAAAAGGAGUAGCGCGAGGCGGUAGGCAGCCUUGAAGAGGAUGAGUGGGCCCGCUGCUGGGGGAUGGUCCUAGGGAUUUUUGAAUCAACGAGAGCAGUGUCGGCCCAGGUAUCUUCUUCCAUCUCUGGAUCCUAAACUAUAUAUCUCUCUAAUCUGCAUUGACACGCAGUAGUGCCGGGUACAAGUGUGUGGCUGCUCCAGUGCGAUGAACAGUGCGAUGAAGUUAGCAGCUCUUUAUCCUUUUUCCUCUUAUUCAUUGUGUAUUUCCCCAUUUUAUACAUGUAACAAUGAUGAAUGAUGAUGAACUUAGACUUGGUGUAAGGAGAGUCAUUCUGUUUCCUUGAACAAAACAGCCUUCUAUCCUUAUAUUUAUCCUAAAAGCUUUCAGACGAUACUCACACCAUAUGAUUCGUUGAAGCAUAGAAGUAUUUUUUUCACAUCUAUUACAAUCCAAUAUUUGUUAGUUAAUCAUAUUCUUUAUAUUCGCAAGUAGUAUAAAGUUGCCCCAAAAUUGGUAAUAUGAUUUUGGAUUAUACAUUAUAUGCCGACAAGGAGAUUAAUGCUGCCCAAUAAACUAGCAGUAUGAAAUAACCCUGCAUAUAUUUGUUGAUUUUUAAUUUGAGCCUUUCAAUCCAACUACAAAAAUUAUUUGUACAAUAUUUACUGACUUUUACCUCUUAUUUUGCAGGCUAUCUAGAAUGAUUGCAUGUAUUAAUGAAGUAGUCCACGUUAGGUGGAUUGGCUCAAAAUGGAGAAGCAUGAUUGUAUUAAGCAUUUAAGCUCUAAGCAAUUUAGAAUGUCAAUGUCUUGGGGCUCCCUUGCAAUAUUUCAGAGAACUAUAUUUUUCCAGACAUUUUAUAUUGCCUCACGAUGUUUGGGGGAUCUGAUUAGGUAUUGUUUCUCUAUAUAUCUAUCCAUCUCUCUAUUUUAGUUGCUAAUAGAAUAAUGAACAAUUGAUAGGACUAAUCUUAUAGACUUGUUUUCUCCUCAAUCCGACUGUGUAUUUUCCAAGUUUUGUGCUAAAACGGGAAAAAAACAUAUGUUUUAAACUUGCGACAACAUAUUCUCUGUGCAAAUUUUAGCCUUGU